This 492-nucleotide ribosomal RNA is filed under the name uncultured bacterium. Its description in RNAcentral is "partial 16S ribosomal RNA". It matches the Rfam family "Bacterial small subunit ribosomal RNA", at positions 29 to 507 of the family's 1533-position model. The record is from RNAcentral.
AGUGAACGCUGGCGGUAGGCCUAACACAUGCAAGUCGAACGGCAGCACAGUAAGCGCUCGCUCUUACGGGUGGCGAGUGGCGGACGGGUGAGGAAUACAUCGGAAUCUACUUUUUCGUGGGGGAUAACGUAGGGAAACUUACGCUACUACCGCAUACGACCUACGGGUGAAAGCAGGGGAUCUUCGGACCUUGCGCGUUUGAAUGAGCUGAUGUCGGAUUAGCUAGUUGGCGGGGUAAAGGCCCACCAAGGCGACGAUCCGUAGCUGGUCUGAGAGGAUGAUCAGCCACACUGGAACUGAGACACGGUCCAGACUCCUACGGGAGGCAGCAGUGGGGAAUAUUGGACAAUGGGCGCAAGCCUGAUCCAGCCAUACCGCGUGGGUGAAGAAGGCCUUCGGGUUGUAAAGCCCUUUUGUUGGGAAAGAAUAGCAGCAGGUGAAUACCCCGCUGUUCUGACGGUACCCAAAGAGUAAGCACCGGCUAACUUCGUG